CCUACGGGAGGCAGCAGUGAGGAAUAUUGGUCAAUGGACGAGAGUCUGAACCAGCCAAGUAGCGUGAAGGAUGACUGCCCUAUGGGUUGUAAACUUCUUUUAUAAAGGAAUAAAACGAGGCACGUGUGCCUUUUUGCAUGUACUUUAUGAAUAAGGAUCGGCUAACUCCGUGCCAGCAGCCGCGGUAAUACGGAGGAUCCGAGCGUUAUCCGGAUUUAUUGGGUUUAAAGGGAGCGUAGAUGGGUUGUUAAGUCAGUUGUGAAAGGUUGGGGUUCAACCGUAAAAUUGCAAUUGAUACUGGCAGUCUUGAGUACAGUUGAGGUAGGCGGAAUUCGUGGUGUAGCGGUGAAAUGCUUAGAUAUCACGAAGAACCCCGAUUGCGAAGGCAGCUUACUAAACUGUGACUGACAUUGAUGCUCGAAAGUGUGGGUAUCAAACAGGAUUAGAUACCCGGGUAGUC
This 460-nucleotide ribosomal RNA is filed under the name uncultured bacterium. RNAcentral's name for it is "partial 16S ribosomal RNA". It matches the Rfam family "Bacterial small subunit ribosomal RNA", at positions 338 to 795 of the family's 1533-position model. The record is from RNAcentral.